UCCCAGCACUUCUUGGUAAUUUGUAUUUGUCCUAAUACUGUAGCUUAUUCUUCUGCCUAGUUGGCUUUGCAGAGGUUAGGUCCAAAUAGUGUUGACUGUGUGAACUAAACUGUGUUCUUGGCUAUAAAUAGCUGUACAAAAUAAGUAUUAUACCUUACUGAACCUGUGUUUAGCAUUGUCCAAUGACCAUGAUAUGCACUUUUGUACGUCGCUUUGGAUAAAAGCGUCUGCUAAAUAAAUGUAAUGUAAUGUAAUGU
Long non-coding RNA from Anguilla rostrata (American eel), 257 nucleotides. RefSeq lists it as uncharacterized. The record is from RefSeq and is a predicted model, not a curated record. Lineage: Eukaryota; Metazoa; Chordata; Actinopteri; Anguilliformes; Anguillidae. The transcript has 2 exons.